GAUCAUGGCUCAGGAUGAACGCUAGCUACAGGCUUAACACAUGCAAGUCGAGGGGCAGCAUGAUCUAAGCUUGCUUAGAUUGAUGGCGACCGGCGCACGGGUGAGUAACGCGUAUCCAACCUUCCCUAUAGUAGAGGAUAGCCCGGCGAAAGUCGGAUUAAUACUCUAUGUUUUCCAAUGCAGACAUCUAAGUUGGAACAAAGGUUUACCGCUAUAGGAUGGGGAUGCGUCUGAUUAGAUUGUAGGCGGGGUAACGGCCCACCUAGUCGACGAUCAGUAGGGGUUCUGAGAGGAAGGUCCCCCACAUUGGAACUGAGACACGGUCCAAACUCCUACGGGAGGCAGCAGUGAGGAAUAUUGGUCAAUGGGCGAGAGCCUGAACCAGCCAAGUAAGCGUGCAGGAUGACGGCCCUAUGGGUUGUAAACUGCUUUUAUCGGGGGAUAAAGUGAGGGACGUGUCCCUUAUUGUAGGUACCCGAUGAAUAAGGACCGGCUAAUUCCGUGCCAGCCGCGGC
Molecule: ribosomal RNA, 515 nt
Filed under: uncultured bacterium
Lineage: Bacteria
Description: bacterial SSU rRNA
Rfam family: Bacterial small subunit ribosomal RNA
Source: RNAcentral